This 254-nucleotide ribosomal RNA is filed under the name uncultured bacterium. RNAcentral describes it as "partial 16S ribosomal RNA". It matches the Rfam family "Bacterial small subunit ribosomal RNA", at positions 524 to 776 of the family's 1533-position model. The record is from RNAcentral.
UACAGAGGCCUCGAGCGUUAAUCGGAGUCACUAGGGCUUAAAGGGUGCGUAGGCGGUUCCGUAAGUGCCUUGUGAAAUCCCACGGCCUAACCGUGGAACGGCUCGGCAGACUGCGGAACUUGAGGUCGGUAGAGGUCGCUGGAACUCUAGGUGGAGCGGUGAAAUGCGUAGAUAUCUAGAGGAACGCCCAUGGUGAAGACAGGCGACUGGGCCGAUUCUGACGCUGAGGCACGAAAGCGUGGGUAGCGAACGGG